AGUGAACGCUGGCGGUAGGCCUAACACAUGCAAGUCGAACGGCAGCACAGUAAGAGCUUGCUCUUACGGGUGGCGAGUGGCGGACGGGUGAGGAAUACAUCGGAAUCUACUUUUUCGUGGGGGAUAACGUAGGGAAACUUACGCUAAUACCGCAUACGACCUACGGGUGAAAGCAGGGGAUCUUCGGACCUUGCGCGAUUGAAUGAGCCGAUGUCGGAUUAGCUAGUUGGCGGGGUAAAGGCCCACCAAGGCGACGAUCCGUAGCUGGUCUGAGAGGAUGAUCGGCCACACUGGAGCUGAGACACGGUCCAGACUCCUGCGGGAGGCAGCAGUGGGGAAUAUUAGACAAUGGGCGCGAGCCUGAUCCAGCCAUACCGCGUGGGUGAAGAAGGCCUUCGGGUUGUAAAGCCCUUUUGUUGGGAAAGAAAAGCGGCAGGUUAAUACCCCGCUGUUCUGACGGUACCCAAAGAAUAAGCACCGGCUAACUUCGUG
Molecule: ribosomal RNA, 492 nt
Filed under: uncultured bacterium
Lineage: Bacteria
Description: partial 16S ribosomal RNA
Rfam family: Bacterial small subunit ribosomal RNA
Source: RNAcentral